GGUGUUGUGGCCGAGUGGUCCAAGGCGCUACGUUCAGGUCGUAGUCUGUGUAUGCAGGCGUGGGUUCGAACCCCACCGACACCA
Ramicandelaber brevisporus is the source of this 84-nucleotide non-coding RNA. The record is from the annotation of a GenBank genome assembly. NCBI's taxonomy places the organism in Eukaryota, Fungi, Kickxellomycota, Ramicandelaberales, Ramicandelaberaceae.